Molecule: non-coding RNA, 1481 nt
Organism: Ictidomys tridecemlineatus (thirteen-lined ground squirrel)
Lineage: Eukaryota; Metazoa; Chordata; Mammalia; Rodentia; Sciuridae
Source: RefSeq, a predicted model, not a curated record
CAUCAUCAUCAUCUCAUUUAUACCAUUCUCACUUAUGAUUUCCUUUUGCUUAUCUAAGGCAAAGAGAGGUUCAGUAGGUCAUUCAAGGUAGCACAGCUAAUGAGAGGCAGAGCUGGGACUCCAGAGCCCACGGAAGGAUCCUAACUUGCAGCUGUGCUGCCAAGACAUUGCCUGAGGGAGGCAGAGAAGCCUUAGCAGGUUCAAACAGUGACACUUCAGCUGGGUGGACAGUGGAUGGGAAAGGGCUGGAGGCGGGAAGAGCAGGGAGAAGAGAGAAUGUGGCCCCAGCAAGAGAAGACGGAGCAAGGCUGGUAGCCAGGGAGAGCUUGGUUGGGCAGAGUCCAUCUUCAGCGGUGGGAUGGAUGGAGGACUUGGGAGACAGAGGGGAGGAAACAAGGCCUGAGGACUGUAGCCAGCGGCUGGAUGGGAAACUGGAGGAGGGCCAGCCCGGGUGGAGGCCACACUGCAGAGCUUGGGAUUCCUGUCGUCUUUUGUGGCAUUCAGCUCACAGGAUCGCCACAAUGAUUUGUUGGCACCAUGGUUUACUCAUUAGUAAGAACGAGGUUCCGGGCCUCUUUACUAAUUCUCCACGUCGCUCCGUGGAAGGUUCGAGGUAGCUUUCAAAACACACCAACGCCUCCGUCUGCAAGCUCCAUGGCAGCAAAAGGCUUCUCUCUCCUGUCCCUCCCUGUCCUCUGGGCUGGCCCAUGGCCAGGGCUUGUAAAUCCGUGCUAUUGGAAUGGACAAAAGAAAAACAAAAAAAUUGCUGUGGGUAAAGGAGUGAGGGAGGAACCGGGGGAACUAAUCAAGGCCGAGGGACAGUCGGGGGCAGCGGCAAAGGGCAGGGCGCUCCCACGCCACCGCGCACGCACGAGCUCAGCACCCGGGAGCCCAGGGACCUCUGAGGGCCUGUCGCCUCUCUGCAGAACGGGGAUGGUAACAGAAAGGAUCUCAAAGGACUGACCUGCGGUGGAGGGCUGCUAAGAGAAGCGUCGUAUGUGUCAAAUGACAGAAAACCACGAAGCCGUGGAAAAGGGCGAGAUGCCCUUUGUGUCCUGUGACAGAAGGACCUUUGGGAUGUUGUGAAAUCCAAACAGCGAGUUCUCGGCGGACACAACAUCUUUGUUGGUAUGUGGUGCUGAGGAUCGAACCCGGGCCGCACGCAUGCCAGGCGAGCGCACUACCGCUUGAGCCACAUCCCCAGCCCUCCUAUUCACUUUUAAGGAUGAGCCUGGAACCCCAAAGCACAUCCCCCUCAAGCACCACCCUUUUUCUCCUUAGAGUGUGUCUGCUCUGAUCCUCGGUGGCCUGAACAAAUCUUUGUUGUUUGGACACGUUCUGAAAUUUCUUCCUGAAGUGUAAGUCAAGAAUCUUCAGGGCCAUCUUGAGAUCCCCUUCUUCCUUUUGGGGGACAUCCUUGGACCCCCAUCUGGAGGAAUAUGUGACAUGAUCACAAGUGAAUAAAAUGUAGAUUAAAAUGA